Molecule: ribosomal RNA, 1452 nt
Filed under: uncultured organism
Description: SSU rRNA
Rfam family: Bacterial small subunit ribosomal RNA
Source: RNAcentral
UGCCUAAUACAUGCAAGUAGAACGCUGAAGAGAGGAGCUUGCUCUUCUUGGAUGAGUUGCGAACGGGUGAGUAUCGCGUAGGUAACCUGCCUUGUAGCGGGGGAUAACUAUUGGAAACGAUAGCUAAUACCGCAUAACAAUGGAUGACACAUGUCAUUUAUUUGAAAGGGGCAAAUGCUCCACUACAAGAUGGACCUGCGUUGUAUUAGCUAGUAGGUGAGGUAACGGCUCACCUAGGCGACGAUACAUAGCCGACCUGAGAGGGUGAUCGGCCACACUGGGACUGAGACACGGCCCAGACUCCUACGGGAGGCAGCAGUAGGGAAUCUUCGGCAAUGGGGGCAACCCUGACCGAGCAACGCCGCGUGAGUGAAGAAGGUUUUCGGAUCGUAAAGCUCUGUUGUAAGUCAAGAACGAGUGUGAGAGUGGAAAGUUCACACUGUGACGGUAGCUUACCAGAAAGGGACGGCUAACUACGUGCCAGCAGCCGCGGUAAUACGUAGGUCCCGAGCGUUGUCCGGAUUUAUUGGGCGUAAAGCGAGCGCAGGCGGUUUGAUAAGUCUGAAGUUAAAGGCUGUGGCUCAACCAUAGUUCGCUUUGGAAACUGUCAAACUUGAGUGCAGAAGGGGAGAGUGGAAUUCCAUGUGUAGCGGUGAAAUGCGUAGAUAUAUGGAGGAACACCGGUGGCGAAAGCGGCUCUCUGGUCUGUAACUGACGCUGAGGCUCGAAAGCGUGGGGAGCGAACAGGAUUAGAUACCCUGGUAGUCCACGCCGUAAACGAUGAGUGCUAGGUGUUGGAUCCUUUCCGGGAUUCAGUGCCGCAGCUAACGCAUUAAGCACUCCGCCUGGGGAGUACGACCGCAAGGUUGAAACUCAAAGGAAUUGACGGGGGCCCGCACAAGCGGUGGAGCAUGUGGUUUAAUUCGAAGCAACGCGAAGAACCUUACCAGGUCUUGACAUCCCGAUGCUAUUUCUAGAGAUAGAAAGUUACUUCGGUACAUCGGUGACAGGUGGUGCAUGGUUGUCGUCAGCUCGUGUCGUGAGAUGUUGGGUUAAGUCCCGCAACGAGCGCAACCCCUAUUGUUAGUUGCCAUCAUUCAGUUGGGCACUCUAGCGAGACUGCCGGUAAUAAACCGGAGGAAGGUGGGGAUGACGUCAAAUCAUCAUGCCCCUUAUGACCUGGGCUACACACGUGCUACAAUGGUUGGUACAACGAGUUGCGAGUCGGUGACGGCAAGCUAAUCUCUUAAAGCCAAUCUCAGUUCGGAUUGUAGGCUGCAACUCGCCUACAUGAAGUCGGAAUCGCUAGUAAUCGCGGAUCAGCACGCCGCGGUGAAUACGUUCCCGGGCCUUGUACACACCGCCCGUCACACCACGAGAGUUUGUAACACCCGAAGUCGGUGAGGUAACCUUUUGGAGCCAGCCGCCUAAGGUGGGAUAGAUGAUUGGGCU